UGAGGGAUUGUUCAUGGUUCGUUCGCCACGACUCAUAACCUGAAGGUCGUAGGUUCAAAUCCUACUCCCGCAACCA
This 76-nucleotide transfer RNA is filed under the name Loktanella fryxellensis. RNAcentral's name for it is "tRNA_Pseudo_CAT". Lineage: Bacteria; Pseudomonadati; Pseudomonadota; Alphaproteobacteria; Rhodobacterales; Roseobacteraceae. The record is from RNAcentral.